AUGCAAGAACCUGCCCGUGCAGCCCCUGGGGAGGAGCUGCAGGAGGUCACCCAGGGAGUGCAGGAGUGUUGGCUGGAGCAGGAGCUAAGUGUGGUGAUGGCACCAAAUAUGAAGGGCACAGGGAUGGCUCAGCAUCUGGUGAGAGAUUUACCACCCCAGAGUAACAGCUGGACCUUGCAAAGACCUUCCCUCAGUGCCAGGGAGGGCAGCUCUGCAGCUGGGGCAGUGGCACAGCCGUGUCUGUCUGUCUGUCUGCAUGUUAGCCAAGUUAGAGCUGGUUCUUUCCCCUGUGCACUCACCUGGUGUGACAGCACUGGUAGCAAAAGACAUUUCAAGCACUUCUGAAUGGGGACACCAUCCAGGUAAUUUGUUUGUUUGUUGAAAUGACACCACACUGCCUGCAGGGCCAUGUGUUAAACCUUCUCAAGCAAUAUAUAUUAAAAGAGAGAGAGUCAUAUAUAUAUAUAUAUGUUUGUACAUAAAGCAAAUUUGAUGCUUCAUUUAUGCAUUCUUCUCAUUACCAUCUCUUGGACAAAUUCCUGGCCAAUGAUCCCACUGUCAAAAAACCAAAACACAGUAACCUGCCCCUAGUUCUUGUGGGGUUUGUGCUGCAGAGCUGCUGGAAUAUGCAUGCUUACAACCCCUGGAAAUCACACUGUGAGUAGCUUUGGCUGUUACACAAAUUUCACCAGUACAUUGCAAUAUUUGGAGAUUUUUGUCACCUCUGGCAACAUCAUGACAGCCUCAUGUGUGGGAAAAAUAACCCAGGGCCACCUUUGGCCAUGUUGGGACGGAUUUGAGUGAUGCAGAUGACAGCCAUGCAGAGACUGGGGACAUCUUUUUGUUCACUGUUACCACAGGCUUCAUUUACAACAUUACUGUCUGUUCAAAACACCCCCUAAGCAAAAUCCUGGGUAUUGUUCAGAAUUUUUACAUCUGGAUACUCUUCUGGGAAACCUCUCACUAUGUUUUCGGAAUUAAAGUAUUACUGUAAGUGCUUUUAAGACUACUCAUAAUACAAACAUUUCAGUUGUGCAAACCCAUGAAUAUUCAUUCACAUGAAGUUGAGCUUUUGGUAGAUUCAGCUCCUGAUUAAGGUGUUGGACAAAAGAUAUUCUUUAGGAUAC
Molecule: long non-coding RNA, 1127 nt
Filed under: Zonotrichia albicollis (white-throated sparrow)
Lineage: Eukaryota; Metazoa; Chordata; Aves; Passeriformes; Passerellidae
Description: lncRNA (ENSZALG00000018209.1)
Source: RNAcentral